Molecule: long non-coding RNA, 486 nt
Filed under: Homo sapiens (human)
Lineage: Eukaryota; Metazoa; Chordata; Mammalia; Primates; Hominidae
Description: non-protein coding lnc-MAP3K8-14:2
Source: RNAcentral
UUUUUUUUUUUUAAACAUAUAAAGGCUUUUGGUGAAAGCUGUCUAACAGUCAUCUGGCAUCUAUACAUUUGGGCAUGUAAAAGUUGUUAGGAUUUAGAACAGCUUUCAGUGGAAUUGCAACAAGUGAAUCCAGCUCCUGGUUUUCUGCUAAAGUAGCUGGUCCACAUCAUCACUCAGUUCUUGUCCCUCUGCACAGCGCGGUGUGACACUUGUCAACAAGCAGGUGCCCUUCCUGUCCGUAGCAAGGGAGAUUCCAAAGACAAACCAGGGGUCUCUGGGCUUCUGUCUGGAAAGACGGUGAGUGUCUGCCUCGUGUUCAGGAAGAAGACACGUGCAGACCAGGCUGGUGGAACCUCGAGCUUCGGCGCUCAAUAGUGGGGACUGCUUCCUCCUGCUCUCUCCCCACUGCUGCUUCCUGUGGGUAGGAGAGUUCGCAAACGCCAUAGAAAAGGCGAAGGUUGGUACCUGAAAAAUAAAAACGCUUUA